This 376-nucleotide ribosomal RNA is filed under the name uncultured archaeon. RNAcentral describes it as "bacterial SSU rRNA". It matches the Rfam family "Archaeal small subunit ribosomal RNA", at positions 347 to 727 of the family's 1478-position model. The record is from RNAcentral.
ACUUUACCAUGCGGGCAACCGUGAUAAGGAAACCCCGAGUGCCAGCACAGGCUGGCUGUCCGCCAGUGUAAAUAACUGGUGAAGAAAGGGCCGGGCAAGACCGGUGCCAGCCGCCGCGGUAAUACCGGCGGCUCGAGUGGUGGCCACUAUUACUGGGCUUAAAGGGUCCGUAGCUUGAUAUGCAAGUCUCUUGAGGAAUCCGCCAGCUUAACUGGUGGGCGUUCAGGGGAAACUGCAUUUCUAGGGACCGGGAGAGGUGAGAGGUACUGCCGGGGUAGGAGUGGAAUCCUGUAAUCCCGGUGGGACCACCUAUGGCGAAGGCAUCUCACCAGAACGGGUCCGACAGUGAGGGACGAAAGCUGGGGGAGCAAACCGG